RNAcentral lists this ribosomal RNA (459 nucleotides) under uncultured bacterium. Its description in RNAcentral is "partial 16S ribosomal RNA". It matches the Rfam family "Bacterial small subunit ribosomal RNA", at positions 338 to 795 of the family's 1533-position model. The record is from RNAcentral.
CCUACGGGUGGCAGCAGUGAGGAAUAUUGGUCAAUGGUCGGGAGACUGAACCAGCCAAGCCGCGUGAGGGAUGAAGGUCCUGAGUAUUGUAAACCUCUUUUGUCAGGGAACAAAGGCGGGGACGUGUCCCCGGAUGAGUGUACCUGAAGAAAAAGCAUCGGCUAACUCCGUGCCAGAAGCCGCGGUAAUACGGAGUAUGCGAGCGUUAUCGGGAUUUUUUGGGUUUAAAGGGUGCGCAGGCGGUCUGUUAAGUCAGCGGUGAAAGCCCGGGGCUCAACCCCGGCCCGCCGUUGAGACUGGCAGUCUCGAGUUGGAGAGAAGUAUGCGGAAUGCGCGGUGUAGCGGUGAAAUGCAUAGAUAUCGCGAAGAACUCCGAUUGCGAAGGCAGCAUGCCGGCUCCACACUGACGCUGAGGCACGAAAGCGUGGGUAUCGAACAGGAUUAGAUACCCGGGUAGUC